UGGAAGUAUCUAAUGGAAAGAGUCGUAAUAAAAGUUGAACAAUAUUUAAAUAAAAAACGUAAUAAUCAAGAUAUUUAUCCAAACAAUACUAACAUUAUUGCAGAUAUCUAUGAAAAUAGUACAGGUACAAAAGAGCAUAGUUAUGAAGAUACAGUAAGACUGAUGAAUCAUCUAAAACAGUUUUUAAUUCAAGAUAUAGAACAAGCAAUAGACAAAAGAUUAUACGAGAUUUUUCUUGCGUCUCGCAAGAAAAACUAAUUUAUUCCUCGCUAUAACUGGCUACACUUUUUUCUUCACGAUUAAAAAUUAUUUGACAUUAUAAUACCUCUUGAUUAGAAAUUGUAAAUUAAGAAAAGAUGCGGGGAGUGCUACCUGAUUUUUAUAGAAAAUUCAAAUAUAGAGUGCAGUGUACUGACUAUUAAAAUUAAGCGCAUUAUAUAUGUACUAACAUAAGCUGCACCAUACCUUUAAUUGAGUAUAAAUUAACCAAAAACCCGAAGGGUUGAAGAUAGAUUUUUUGAGCUCUAGAAAUACCCUCUUCUUUUAGAUUAAUAAUGCCGCAUAAAUUUGUCAAGUAACUUUAUAACCGUAGUACACUUUACGAUGUCAGCAUUGGUAGAAAAAAGUAGUAUUUUAUAGUGGAAGUAGCUAUAACUAAGGAAUAUAACUCUUGAGCAGCUUGAUUUGUGAUGGUAAUUUUGUUGUCAACAUCUCCUAAAAUAUAUUCACGUUUUGCAUGCAAAGAAAGUACAGCAGUUUAUUUAUUUUUAAUAAAAUGUUAUUAAUUUUAAUUAUAUAUCCUAGUUCAGGAGGUAUUAUGCUUUAUGGAGACUGAAAAAUACUAAACAUCGCUCAAUUAAAAGCUGCAGCAUUAAUGCUAUACUAUUCAAUAGUGUUGCUCAAUUAAGAGUUACCCUAGAAGAUAACUUGAUCUAUCAAAUAAAAGAGCAUUAGCAUCAAGCAAUCGAGAUACAUAUGAAGAAUGGAACGCAUGUGGUUUUAAUGUUAAUUGUAUGUUUCUACUAAAUGUAGGUUAUGAGUGCGUAUCAUUGCCUAUUGCUGCUUGUUCUAACCCAGGGGACAUAGCAAGCGUCCUCUUAAAAAAGGUUUAGAAAUUGACGCUAGUGAUGAUUAUGGAAAAACUCCUUUGUAUCUGACUAUUAUAAUGAUCAUAUAGAUAUAGUAUAUAUUUUACUACAAGAAAAGGCAAAUGUUAAUGCUAUAAGUCACGAUGCCACAAUGCCCUUACAUUGGGCUGUUGGAAUGGUUAUAUAGUAAAUACCUUAUUAGCAAGAGGGGCAAAGCUUAGUGCUAUAGGUCAAGAUGGAGCAGUUCCCUUACAUCUGGCUGCUAAAAAUGCAGUAAAUACUUUGUUGAGAAAAGGUGCGAAUCCUUUAUUUAAGGUUGUUCACAAACCAUUAAUCAAGUAUAUUUCCCUUUUAGUACAGCCCUACUUAUGGCCAAAUAUAUUAAAUAUUCAGUAGAUGUUAUAAGUAAAUCACAUUCUUUCGAUAGCUUCCUAUCCCUAUUGAUCCAAUCAAAAGUCUUCUACAAGCCCCCCCCUUGGGCUGCACUUUAAAUGUCCUGGGUCUCGUUGGGCUAAUAAUUCCGGUGGAGUGUCUUGAUGCACCCAAAAAUCUUCACAGAUACCUCUUACAAUUUCAAUUUUUAUUCCAUAUUCUUUUAAAUCUUUUCCUU
Non-coding RNA from Cinara cedri, 1698 nucleotides. Lineage: Eukaryota; Metazoa; Arthropoda; Insecta; Hemiptera; Aphididae. The record is from the annotation of a GenBank genome assembly.